GCCCACGGCCAUGCCGCCCUGAACAAGCCUGAUCCUGUCUGAUCUCGGAAGCUAAGCAGAGUUGGGCCCAGUUAGUACUUGGAUGGGAGACCACCUAGGAAGACCAGGUGCUGUAGGCG
Molecule: ribosomal RNA, 119 nt
Filed under: Pteropus alecto (black flying fox)
Lineage: Eukaryota; Metazoa; Chordata; Mammalia; Chiroptera; Pteropodidae
Source: RNAcentral